Molecule: ribosomal RNA, 391 nt
Filed under: uncultured bacterium
Lineage: Bacteria
Description: bacterial SSU rRNA
Rfam family: Bacterial small subunit ribosomal RNA
Source: RNAcentral
UAAUACGUAGGGGGCAAGCGUUACUCGGAUUUACUGGGCGUAAAGCGAAUUAAGGCGGUCUUGUAAGUCAGUGGUGAAAUCCCUCGGCUCAACUGAGGAAUUGCCUUUGAUACUGCUUGACUUGAGGACAGGAGAGGAAAGUGGAAUUCCCGGUGUAGCGGUGGAAUGCGUAGAUAUCGGGAGGAACACCAGAGGCGAAGGCGGCUUUCUGGACUGGUCCUGACGCUGAUAUUCGAAAGCUAGGGGAGCAAACAGGAUUAGAUACCCUGGUAGUCCUAGCCGUAAACGAUGGAUACUAGAUCUCGCAUAAUUUUGCUUGGUCGAAGCUAACGCGUUAAGUAUCCCGCCUGGGGAGUACGGUCGCAAGGCUGAAACUUAAAUGAAUUGACGG